This is a long non-coding RNA of Capsicum annuum, 1160 nucleotides long. RefSeq lists it as uncharacterized. The record is from RefSeq and is a predicted model, not a curated record. The transcript has 2 exons. Lineage: Eukaryota; Viridiplantae; Streptophyta; Magnoliopsida; Solanales; Solanaceae.
CAUACACACAAAAACGAAAAGGGAACCUCAGCAUACAGAAAAAAAAAAAAAAAAAGGGCACGAUCAGGAAACCAAAAAAAGAACAUUGGAAUUUUCUUUUCUUCUUCGAGGAUACACCCACACAGAAUUUUUGGUCCAUUCUUUUUUUUUCUUCUUGAAGCACACAGCAACACACUUUCUUUUCCAUGGAGAGGAGGGAAUAACAGAACAUACACUCACCACUCUCAAUUGAUACCCAUACAGCCUUCACUCAGUCCUCGCUGAUCUUGGAAGAUUCACACACAGUUUCCAUGGAAAGAAUGAGGGAUAGAGAGAGGUAGAGAUCGAUAGAGGGUGGGGGCGAGAAAGAUUAGGCUGAAAAGGGAGAGGAGAUGACACACAGAAACCUCCAUUAACACAGUCGAAAACUUGAUUUUUUUUAUUUUUUUCUUCUUUUCCCCUUCAUCACGCACAGUCACAAGCUUGCGUACACCCACAGAAAUAGAGUAGAACGGAAAUAGAGAAGUCACGACGAGGGAGAGAUAGGGGAGAUCGAGAGAGACAACAGAGUAUUUGAGGUUUUUCGGUGAACCCGGCGCCGUAGCCGUUGGUUUUGGUCGAUUCCAGUUGAAUCUGGCCGGAAACGGCGAGUUUCACCGAAAUCGAUUGUUCGCAUUGGGGUUUUCGUCAUUGAUACGACCAACGCUGAUUUGUUCAUUGCUGUUCUCGAUCAUUUUCUUACGGAAAAUCUCAUUUGGGUUGAGUUUAUCACGAUUUCUGUUUUAAAAAUUUGGGGUUCGCGUUGGUUUGGGAUUUGAUUUCUGUUCAUCUCAAAUCGUGUCGUAUUAUAGUCAGUAAGUUUCGGGUUACUAUUUAUCGAUACCGAGUUGGGGCUUCAUCGUUGUUGAGGUUUUCUAUCUGAGCCUUCAGAUUCGGACUUCUUUUGACUCUUAUUGUCAUCAAAAUUCAAUAUCGGAAGUUAUGUUGAUCUGCUGCACUUGAAGCAAGGCUCUUUCGUAAACAACCUUUAUAUCUGUACGAAUGAGGGAUAAGGUGGUUUGUGCACUAUACCCUUUCUCGACCUCACUUGUGGGAUUACUCCAUUGUUGGUGUUGUAUUAUUAUGUUAUAAUUUGUAUAUAAUCAACAUGUAUAUAUUUAUAAUAAAACGGUAGUUUGGUG